AUAUGAGAGUAUGGCUUGAAUUGACUUACAAAAGAGAACAAUUAUAGAUUCUAAAAUAGAAUGCAAGCAAUAUUUUAGGAAAACUAACCUGGUAAGGCAUGAGAGAUACAAUGGGGCAGGAUCGGGGGCCGGGGGAAAUGAAGGUAAGGAAACCAGGCAGGAACCUACUGCAGUCAUUCAAUGCUGAAGCAGUGAGAGUGAAGACCAUGGUAGUAUCAGUGAGACUGACCAGGAAUGAAGGAAUUUAGGCAGAACUGUGGGUUCUGGCUGACUAGAGAGCUGGGAAAAGGGAAGAGCAGUAAAGUUGGGCUGGUGAAAGGCUCUGUUAUAAAGUGCUAGUUAAUAUUCCAAUAUUCAGUGGAAGACCAAGGAGCUAACUGGUGAAUUUUGCCCUUUCAUAUCAAAGCAAGGCUAAUAAUUAACAUAAUUAAUCUUUUAUGCUUUAUUAAAGGUUUGGCAUAGCUAAGGUUUGACUGAGUACUGUUCUCGCAAGUGAACCUAGCGGGAAAGCUGAAGAAGCUAUAGAGAAAUAGCUUCAGCAAGAAGGAGGAGGAACUUUGCUUCAGAAAGCUACACUGAGGGCUCCUUUCUGGGUAUAGCUCAGUCAGCUGUUAGUCUGUUGCCAGGAGGUUGAGUCAGAUGCCUUUGUGAUUAUGUACCUUCAUAUCACUAAGGAAUCACAGCAAUGUGUUUAAUUUGCUUUUUAUUGCCUAUUCUUUGGCUCUCAAAAGACAAAGAGUUUGAAAGGGAGUAGUAGAGAGACUUGGAAGAAGGGAAAAUACAUCUAUUCCAGGUAGACAACCAUGAGCUGAUGGAGUGUUCUGA
This 825-nucleotide long non-coding RNA is filed under the name Homo sapiens (human). Its description in RNAcentral is "HSALNT0293692". The record is from RNAcentral. Lineage: Eukaryota; Metazoa; Chordata; Mammalia; Primates; Hominidae.